Molecule: ribosomal RNA, 460 nt
Filed under: uncultured Pelotomaculum sp.
Lineage: Bacteria; Bacillati; Bacillota; Clostridia; Eubacteriales; Desulfotomaculaceae
Description: bacterial SSU rRNA
Rfam family: Bacterial small subunit ribosomal RNA
Source: RNAcentral
GCACAAGCGGUGGAGCAUGUGGUUAAUUCGACGCAACGCGAAGAACCUUACCAGGGCUUGACAUCCCCUGACCGCGUAUGAAAGUACGUUUUCACCCUCGGGUGACAGGGAGACAGGUGGUGCAUGGUUGUCGUCAGCUCGUGUCGUGAGAUGUUGGGUUAAGUCCCGCAACGAGCGCAACCCCUACGUUUAGUCGCUAACAGGUGAAGCUGAGCACUCUAGACGAACUGCCGUUGACAAAACGGAGGAAGGUGGGAUGACGUCAAAUCAUCAUGCCCCUUAUGUUCUGGGCUACACACGUGCUACAAUGGCCGGUACAGACGGAGGCGAAGCCGCGAGGCGGAGCAAAUCCGAAAAAGCCGGUCUCAGUUCGGAUUGCAGGCUGCAAUUCGCCUGCAUGAAGUCGGAAUCGCUAGUAAUCGCAGGUCAGCAUACUGCGGUGAAUACGUUCCCGGGCCUU